GCUCAGGUAUGCAAGUGGUUAAAGCAGACAGACUGUAAAUCUGUCCCCGUAAGGGUUCGUGGGUUCGAAUCCCACCCUGUCCACCA
This 86-nucleotide transfer RNA is filed under the name Bacteriophage sp. RNAcentral describes it as "tRNA-Tyr". It matches the Rfam family "tRNA". From Rfam's summary of the family: Transfer RNA (tRNA) molecules are approximately 80 nucleotides in length. The record is from RNAcentral. RNAcentral also lists the same sequence under 1 other name.